GGAACUAUAGCUCAAAGGUGGAGCACUCGGCUGUUAACCGAUAGGUUGUAGGUUCGAAUCCUACUAGUUCCGCCA
This 75-nucleotide transfer RNA is filed under the name Caudoviricetes sp. RNAcentral describes it as "tRNA-Asn". It matches the Rfam family "tRNA". From Rfam's summary of the family: Transfer RNA (tRNA) molecules are approximately 80 nucleotides in length. Their secondary structure includes four short double-helical elements and three loops (D, anti-codon, and T loops). The record is from RNAcentral. Lineage: Duplodnaviria; Heunggongvirae; Uroviricota; Caudoviricetes.